AACGGGAACUCUGAGUGGUAUUACUGUACUUAAAGCUGCUGCUGUGUUAUUUAAGUUAUUUUUGCUUAAGCAUGUGCAAACUUGUGUCUCUUUUUUUUCCCCUCAGCUGUUACUGUAGCUGCAGUACCAGUAAUUGCAACCUACCAAGAAUAAACAGCAGCCAGAGAUCCUCAAAGCAGUACAUUGCUUUGCUUCCAGGUGGUUGCUCGGGGCAUCCCGGCCAUCAGUGGCGGACUGGCCAUCGGGACGUUCGGGGCGAAUCCCGAUGGGCCGGUCGGGCCACUCGGCCCACUUCGGUACCGGCAGGGGCGGACUGACCAUCUGUAGAAUCACCGAAUGGCCGGGUCGGUUUGCUGUUUUUAAACGGCAUCAUUGAAGUUAAGCUGACAGGCGACAGAGGUCCACCGUUUCCCAGUCCGCCCCUGCCGGCCAUCAUCUACUCUAGGGAGUUCUCCCCUGACAGCUGGACAGUACAUGAUAGCAGAGGACCAUCGUCAGUGACAGUGUCCUGAAUGUUGUUGACGCCCUGAUGCUGAUGUUUGCAGCAUAUUACUGCCUCAACAUCAGUUAUCGCUCAGAACUGGGAGCUACCCUGGAGUUCUUGCAGAGGUGCCUAUUCAAGAUCAAUCCGGACAAUGGGACUAGAGUGGAGAGGAAGGAAUACAAACACAAACAGCACUCGAUAAAGAUAAAGAUUUCAUGAAGUUUGCUGACGACACGACCGUCAUCG
Trematomus bernacchii (emerald rockcod) is the source of this 730-nucleotide long non-coding RNA. RefSeq lists it as uncharacterized. The record is from RefSeq and is a predicted model, not a curated record. The transcript is spliced from 5 exons. NCBI's taxonomy places the organism in Eukaryota, Metazoa, Chordata, Actinopteri, Perciformes, Nototheniidae.